UUAAGAUAGCUGUGGUUUUGAAUUAGCAAAAUAUGUUUAGAAAAAACUAUGGAUCAACGAGUGAAUAAAAAAGGCGGCGCCAACCACUAGCAGGAAUGUAAAUCAGAGCGAUGUCGCUUUUAUAGGAUUCGGACAGACUGCACAACAAGAAGAUCUGUGGAGCAUCACAAUCUACAGGAGAAUGGAGCAUUUGGACAAGUGUAAAAUGCCAAACAAAGAGGAUGAGAGUAAAUCUAAUGAACCAAGAGAGGAACAGACCCCAAAACGAGUCAGAAGGAACAGCAUUAAUAGUGGAACACCAAACUUUUUUCACGCUGCAGACAGACCUGCAGAGAUUCAUUCUGAUCCUCAAGUCAAGUCAAGUCAAGUCAAGACAUCUUUAUCGCUAUAGUGCUUUAUACAAGUUUGUUUCAAAAUGGCUUCAUGAGGAUAAAUAAGAAAAUAAUGAUUCAACAAUGCAAAUUCUACUGUAAAUCAGCUCAAAAAGAAAAAAAAAAUGUCAUUGUUCAGAUGAGGUUCAGUUUGGUUAAAAAUCAAAUAUGUAGUUCAGUCCAAUACAGCUGUAAAGCAGCUCUGUAGAAAACAGUGAUGUCAUUGUCAGCUCAGAUCAGACUGAUUUUCACUGUUAUCUGCACUAUAUAGUGAAUCUGCACUAUAAUAACAUUGACAAAGACAAUUCAAGUAAAACAAAAUACAAGAGUUAAUGUUUAUGUUCAUGUUCAUAAUUAUUGUUAAAAUGAUUUAAUUUUGUAAAACAAACAAACAAACAAAAAAAAGAUGAGAAACAAUGCAAAUCUUUAAACCAGAGCUUUAUCUAAAACACCACGCCAUUUGUAUUGUAUUACAUGAUUUGUGUAAGUCUUUGCAUUUCCUAUGGAAAGUUGCUGAGAUUAUCCUUCUUCAUUGUCACUGCUGAUAUGAGGUAGCUUAGUGGUUUUAAAACUUCUGUGCAGCUUAUCUGAAGAUGUGAGCUUCAUUUGAUGAAAACAACAUCAUGCAACACUGAUGGCAACAAAAGAUCAAGGUCAAAAUCAGACAAAAAAAAAAAUCAUGCGCUGCAU
This is a long non-coding RNA of Labeo rohita (rohu), 1061 nucleotides long. RefSeq lists it as uncharacterized. The transcript is spliced from 3 exons. The record is from RefSeq and is a predicted model, not a curated record. NCBI's taxonomy places the organism in Eukaryota, Metazoa, Chordata, Actinopteri, Cypriniformes, Cyprinidae.